This 74-nucleotide transfer RNA is filed under the name Myotis davidii. It matches the Rfam family "tRNA". Rfam says of the family: Transfer RNA (tRNA) molecules are approximately 80 nucleotides in length. Their secondary structure includes four short double-helical elements and three loops (D, anti-codon, and T loops). The record is from Rfam by way of RNAcentral. Lineage: Eukaryota; Metazoa; Chordata; Mammalia; Chiroptera; Vespertilionidae.
GCCAGUGUGGCUCAGUGGAUAGAGCGUCGGCCUGUGGACUGAAGGGUCCCAGGUUCGAUUCCUGGUCAAGGGCA